AGCGGUGGAGCAUGUGGUUUGCUUCGAUGCAACGCGAAGUAAGCCUUUACCUACUCCUUGACAUCCAGUAGAACUUAGCAGUAGAUGCUUUGGUGCCUUCGGGAACUCUGAGACAGGUGCUGCAUGGCUGUCGUCAGCUCGUGUUGUGAAAUGUUGGGUUAAGUCCCGCAACGAGCGCAACCCUUAUCCUUUGUUGCCAGCGGUUAGGCCGGGAACUCAAAGGAGACUGCCAGUGAUAAACUGGAGGAAGGUGGGGAUGACGUCAAGUCAUCAUGGCCCUUACGAGUAGGGCUACACACGUGCUACAAUGGCGCAUACAAAGAGAAGCGACCUCGCGAGAGCAAGCGGACCUCAUAAAGUGCGUCGUAGUCCGGAUUGGAGUCUGCAACUCGACUCCAUGAAGUCGGAAUCGCUAGUAAUCGUGGAUCAGAAUGCCACGGGUGAAUACGUUUCUCCGGG
This 459-nucleotide ribosomal RNA is filed under the name Enterobacter hormaechei. Its description in RNAcentral is "bacterial SSU rRNA". It matches the Rfam family "Bacterial small subunit ribosomal RNA", at positions 928 to 1374 of the family's 1533-position model. The record is from RNAcentral. Lineage: Bacteria; Pseudomonadati; Pseudomonadota; Gammaproteobacteria; Enterobacterales; Enterobacteriaceae.